AACGAACGCUGGCGGCAUGCCUAACACAUGCAAGUCGAACGAGACCUUCGGGUCUAGUGGCGCACGGGUGCGUCACGCGUGGGAACCUGCCCUUAGGUUCGGAAUAACUCCCCGAAAGGGGUGCUAAUACCGGAUAAUGUCUUCGGACCAAAGAUUUAUCGCCUUUGGGUGGGCCCGCGUUGGAUUAGCUAGUUGGUAUGGUAAAAGCCUACCAAGGCGACGAUCCAUAGCUGGUCUGAGAGGAUGAGCAGCCACACUGGGACUGAGACACGGCCCAGACUCCUACGGGAGGCAGCAGUGGGGAAUAUUGGACAAUGGGCGAAAGCCUGAUCCAGCAAUGCCGCGUGAGUGAUGAAGGCCUUAGGGUUGUAAAGCUCUUUUACCCGGGAUGAUAAUGACAGUACCGGGAGAAUAAGCUCCGGCUAACUCCGUG
This 433-nucleotide ribosomal RNA is filed under the name uncultured bacterium. Its description in RNAcentral is "partial 16S ribosomal RNA". It matches the Rfam family "Bacterial small subunit ribosomal RNA", at positions 29 to 507 of the family's 1533-position model. The record is from RNAcentral.